CGGGGUGUAGUUCAGUUGGCUUAGAACGCUCGCUUUGGGAGCGAGAGGUCGUGAGUUCGAGUCUCGCCACCCCGA
This 75-nucleotide transfer RNA is filed under the name Candidatus Doudnaibacteriota bacterium. RNAcentral describes it as "Candidatus Doudnabacteria bacterium tRNA-Pro". It matches the Rfam family "tRNA". From Rfam's summary of the family: Transfer RNA (tRNA) molecules are approximately 80 nucleotides in length. Their secondary structure includes four short double-helical elements and three loops (D, anti-codon, and T loops). Further hydrogen bonds mediate the characteristic L-shaped molecular structure. tRNAs have two regions of fundamental functional importance: the anti-codon, which is responsible for specific mRNA codon recognition, and the 3' end, to which the tRNAs corresponding amino acid is attached (by aminoacyl-tRNA synthetases). tRNAs cope with the degeneracy of the genetic code in two manners: having more than one tRNA (with a specific anti-codon) for a particular amino acid; and 'wobble' base-pairing, i.e. permitting non-standard base-pairing at the 3rd anti-codon position. Lineage: Bacteria; Candidatus Doudnaibacteriota. The record is from RNAcentral.